RNAcentral lists this ribosomal RNA (390 nucleotides) under uncultured bacterium. Its description in RNAcentral is "bacterial SSU rRNA". It matches the Rfam family "Bacterial small subunit ribosomal RNA", at positions 30 to 424 of the family's 1533-position model. The record is from RNAcentral.
AUUGAGCGCUGGCGGCAGGCCUAACACAUGCAAGUCGAGCGCGAAAAUUCCUUCGGGGAUGAGUAGAGCGGCGGACGGGUGAGUAACGCGUAGGAAUCUGCCCGGUAGUGGGGGACAACAGUCGGAAACGACUGCUAAUACCGCAUACGCCCUAAGGGGGAAAGCAGGGGAUCUUCGGACCUUGCGCUAUCGGAUGAGCCUGCGUCGGAUUAGCUUGUUGGUGGGGUAAUGGCCUACCAAGGCGACGAUCCGUAGCUGGUCUGAGAGGAUGAUCAGCCACACUGGGACUGAGACACGGCCCAGACUCCUACGGGAGGCAGCAGUGGGGAAUAUUGGACAAUGGGGGAAACCCUGAUCCAGCCAUGCCGCGUGUGUGAAGAAGGCCUGGUU